RNAcentral lists this transfer RNA (72 nucleotides) under Anguilla anguilla (European eel). It matches the Rfam family "tRNA". Rfam says of the family: Transfer RNA (tRNA) molecules are approximately 80 nucleotides in length. The record is from Rfam by way of RNAcentral. Lineage: Eukaryota; Metazoa; Chordata; Actinopteri; Anguilliformes; Anguillidae.
GGCAUGGUGGCCAAGCGGUAAGGUGUUGGUCUUGUAAACCGAAGAUCACGGGUUCAAGCCCUGUCCGUGCCU